Molecule: ribosomal RNA, 497 nt
Filed under: uncultured bacterium
Lineage: Bacteria
Description: partial 16S ribosomal RNA
Rfam family: Bacterial small subunit ribosomal RNA
Source: RNAcentral
GAUGAACGCUGGCGGCGUGCCUAAUACAUGCAAGUCGAGCGAACAGACGAGGAGCUUGCUCCUCUGACGUUAGCGGCGGACGGGUGAGUAACACGUGGAUAACCUACCUAUAAGACUGGGAUAACUUCGGGAAACCGGAGCUAAUACCGGAUAAUAUAUUGAACCGCAUGGUUCAAUAGUGAAAGACGGUUUUGCUGUUACUUAUAGAUGGAUCCGCGCCGCAUUAGCUAGUUGGUCAGGUAACGGCUUACCAAGGCAACGAUGCGUAGCCGACCUGAGAGGGUGAUCGGCCACACUGGAACUGAGACACGGUCCAGACUCCUACGGGAGGCAGCAGUAGGGAAUCUUCCGCAAUGGGCGAAAGCCUGACGGAGCAACGCCGCGUGAGUGAUGAAGGUCUUCGGAUCGGAAAACUCUGUUAUUAGGGAAGAACAAAUGUGUAAGUAACUAUGCACGUCUUGACGGUACCUAAUCAGAAAGCCACGGCUAACUACGUG